AUAUUCUCCGAAAUGGGAAGGAUGAGAAGCGUCGACCAAGGUUCGAUUCGAGCGAAGCGAGAAAGCGUUGCCGCAGGCAACGACCCGAAGGGCGAGGCGCAACGCGCCGAGUUAUCCUUCCCCCACCACCA
RNAcentral lists this small RNA (131 nucleotides) under Enterobacter cancerogenus. RNAcentral's name for it is "RtT sRNA". It matches the Rfam family "RtT RNA". Rfam says of the family: This family represents a bacterial cis-regulatory element known as RtT RNA. The record is from RNAcentral. Lineage: Bacteria; Pseudomonadati; Pseudomonadota; Gammaproteobacteria; Enterobacterales; Enterobacteriaceae.